This 326-nucleotide ribosomal RNA is filed under the name uncultured eukaryote. RNAcentral describes it as "partial 18S ribosomal RNA". It matches the Rfam family "Eukaryotic small subunit ribosomal RNA", at positions 1470 to 1796 of the family's 1831-position model. The record is from RNAcentral.
CCCUUAGAUGUUCUGGGCCGCACGCGCGCUACAAUGAUGAAUUCAACGAGUUUAUAACCUUGGUUGAAAAGCCUGGGUAAUCUUUUGAACUUUCGUCGUGAUGGGGCUAGACCCUUGCAAUUAUUGGUCUCCAACGAGGAAUUCCUAGUAAACGCAAGUCAUCAGCUUGCAUUGAUUACGUCCCUGCCCUUUGUACACACCGCCCGUCGCUACUACCGAUUGAAUGGUUUAGUGAGGCCUCGGGACUGGCGCAGGUCGGCGGUUUCGCCCCUUGCGCCGGGAACUUGGUCAAACUUGAUCAUUUAGAGGAAGUAAAAGUCGUAACA